CAGCCGCCGCGGUAAUACGAAGGGUGCAAGCGUUAAUCGGAAUUACUGGGCGUAAAGCGUGCGUAGGCGGUGAGUUAAGUCUGCUGUGAAAUCCCCGGGCUCAACCUGGGAAUGGCAGUGGAUACUGGCUCGCUAGAGUGUGUCAGAGGAUGGUGGAAUUCCCGGUGUAGCGGCGAAAUGCGUAGAGAUCGGGAGGAACAUCAGUGGCGAAGGCGGCCAUCUGGGACAACACUGACGCUGAGGCACGAAAGCGUGGGGAGCAAACAGGAUUAGAUACCCCGGAGUCCCUGUCUCUUAUACA
This 301-nucleotide ribosomal RNA is filed under the name uncultured bacterium. RNAcentral's name for it is "partial 16S ribosomal RNA". It matches the Rfam family "Bacterial small subunit ribosomal RNA", at positions 509 to 808 of the family's 1533-position model. The record is from RNAcentral.